RNAcentral lists this ribosomal RNA (483 nucleotides) under uncultured bacterium. RNAcentral describes it as "partial 16S ribosomal RNA". It matches the Rfam family "Bacterial small subunit ribosomal RNA", at positions 28 to 507 of the family's 1533-position model. The record is from RNAcentral.
GAUGAACGCUAGCGGCAGGCCUAAUACAUGCAAGCCGAACGGCAAGUUUGAUAGCAAUAUUGGACCUAGAGUGGCGCAAGGGUGCGUAACACGUAUGCAACCUGCCCGCGACAGGAGGAUAGCUCCCCGAAAGGGGAAUUAACCCUCCAUAACACCAUGAGAAGGCAUCUGAUUAUGGUUAAACCGCACGGGGUCGCGGAUGGGCAUGCGGUUGAUUAGCUAGUUGGCGGGGUAAAGGCCCACCAAGGCGGUGAUCAAUAGGGGUUCUGAGAGGAAGGUCCCCGACACUGGAACUGAGAUACGGGCCAGACUCCUAGGGAAGGCAGCAGUAGGGAAUAUUGGACAAUGGUUGGAAGACUGAGCCAGGCAUGCCGCGUGGAGGAAGACGGGCUUCUGGGUCGUAAACUGCUUUUGCAUGGGGAUAAAAUACCCGUGCGCGGGGAAUUGAAGGUAACAGGGGAAUAAGCCACGGCUAACUACGUG